Molecule: ribosomal RNA, 519 nt
Filed under: uncultured Bacillota bacterium
Lineage: Bacteria; Bacillati; Bacillota
Description: bacterial SSU rRNA
Rfam family: Bacterial small subunit ribosomal RNA
Source: RNAcentral
CCAAGUAAGUAUCCACCUCGGGGAGUACGAUCGCAAGGUUGAAACUCAAAGGAAUUGACGGGGCCCGCGACAAGCGUGGAGUAUGUGGUUUAAUCCGAAGCAACGCGAAGAACCUUACCAGGGCUUGACAUCCUACUAACGAAGCAGAGAUGCAUUAGGUGCCCUUCGGGGAAAGUAGAGACAGGUGGUGCAUGGUUGUCGUCAGCUCGUGUCGUAAGAUGUUGGGUUAAGUCCCGCAACGAGCGCAACCCCUAUUGUUAGUUGCUACGCAAGAGCACUCUAAACAGACUGCCGGUGACAAACCGGAGGAAGGUGGGGAUGACGUCAAGUCAGCAUGCCCCUUACGUCCUGGGCUACACACGUACUACAAUGGUAGGGACAGAGGGCAGCCAACCCGCGAGGGCGAGCUAAUCCCGUAAACCCUGCCUCAGUUCAGAUUGCAGGCUGCAACUCGCCUGCAUGAAGGCGGAAUCGCUAGUAAUCGCAGGUCAGCAUACUGCGGUGAAUCCGUUCCCGGGC